RNAcentral lists this transfer RNA (68 nucleotides) under Marmota monax (woodchuck). RNAcentral's name for it is "tRNA.Ala". The record is from RNAcentral. Lineage: Eukaryota; Metazoa; Chordata; Mammalia; Rodentia; Sciuridae.
GGAUUGUGGCUCAGUUGUAGAGUGCUUGCCUAGCACGUGUGAGGCACUGGGUUCGAUUCUCAGCACCA